This 207-nucleotide unclassified non-coding RNA is filed under the name uncultured Rhodotorula. Its description in RNAcentral is "sequence contains ITS2". Lineage: Eukaryota; Fungi; Basidiomycota. The record is from RNAcentral.
ACUCUUCAACCCACCAGUUUCUUGUUAGACUGUGUGGUGUUUGGAUUCUGAGUGUUGCUGGUCUUCGGACGAAGCUCAUUCGUAAUACAUUAGCAUCUCAAUUUCGAUAUUCGGAUUGACUCAGCGUGAUAGACUAUUCGCUGAGGACACUUUCUAAGUGGCCGAAUUUGAAGUAGAAGCUCAUAGCUAGAUCUUAGUCACUUUUGA